This 436-nucleotide ribosomal RNA is filed under the name uncultured bacterium. RNAcentral's name for it is "partial 16S ribosomal RNA". It matches the Rfam family "Bacterial small subunit ribosomal RNA", at positions 29 to 507 of the family's 1533-position model. The record is from RNAcentral.
GCGAACGCUGGCGGCAGGCUUAACACAUGCAAGUCGAGCGGGCAUCCUUGUGGUGUCAGCGGCAGACGGGUGAGUAACGCGUGGGAACGUGCCCUUCGGUUCGGAAUAACUCAGGGAAACUUGAGCUAAUACCGGAUACGUGCGAGAGCAGAAAGGUUUAUCUGCCGAAGGAUCGGCCCGCGUCUGAUUAGCUAGUUGGUGAGGUUAUGGCUCACCAAGGCGACGAUCAGUAGCUGGUCUGAGAGGAUGAUCAGCCACACUGGGACUGAGACACGGCCCAGACUCCUACGGGAGGCAGCAGUGGGGAAUAUUGGACAAUGGGGGCAACCCUGAUCCAGCCAUGCCGCGUGAGUGAUGACGGCCUUAGGGUUGUAAAGCUCUUUUCUUCGGGACGAUAAUGGCGGUACCGGAGGAAUAAGCCCCGGCUAACUUCGUG